ACUGAGGAAUGAUGACAAUAAAAGGCCGAAUUGCAGUGUCUCCAUCAGCAGUUUGCUCUCUCUGUGGGGACACAAUGACAAAACCUCCCGAAGCGAACCACUGGUCUGACCUCAGU
This 116-nucleotide small nucleolar RNA is filed under the name Castor canadensis (American beaver). Its description in RNAcentral is "Small nucleolar RNA SNORD89 (ENSCCNG00000025121.1)". It matches the Rfam family "Small nucleolar RNA SNORD89". Rfam says of the family: snoRNA HBII-289 belongs to the family of C/D snoRNAs. It is the human orthologue of the mouse MBII-289 and has no identified RNA target. Lineage: Eukaryota; Metazoa; Chordata; Mammalia; Rodentia; Castoridae. The record is from Rfam by way of RNAcentral.